Molecule: ribosomal RNA, 1215 nt
Filed under: uncultured bacterium
Lineage: Bacteria
Description: bacterial SSU rRNA
Rfam family: Bacterial small subunit ribosomal RNA
Source: RNAcentral
GUGAAGCCCAGCUUGCUGGGUGGAUCAGUGGCGAACGGGUGAGUAACACGUGAGCAACCUGCCCUCCACUUCGGGAUAAGCCUUGGAAACGGGGUCUAAUACCGGAUAUGAGCUCGCAUCGCAUGGUGUGGGUUGGAAAGUUUUUCGGUGGGGGAUGGGCUCGCGGCCUAUCAGCUUGUUGGUGGGGUGAUGGCCUACCAAGGCGUCGACGGGUAGCCGGCCUGAGAGGGCGACCGGCCACACUGGGACUGAGACACGGCCCAGACUCCUACGGGAGGCAGCAGUGGGGAAUAUUGCACAAUGGGCGCAAGCCUGAUGCAGCGACGCCGCGUGAGGGAUGACGGCCUUCGGGUUGUAAACCUCUUUCAGCAGGGAAGAAGCGCAAGUGACGGUACCUGCAGAAGAAGCGCCGGCUAACUACGUGCCAGCAGCCGCGGUAAUACGUAGGGCGCAAGCGUUGUCCGGAAUUAUUGGGCGUAAAGAGCUCGUAGGCGGUCUGUCGCGUCUGGUGUGAAAUCCCGAGGCUCAACCUCGGGCUUGCAUCGGGUACGGGCAGACUAGAGUGCGGUAGGGGAGACUGGAAUUCCUGGUGUAGCGGUGGAAUGCGCAGAUAUCAGGAGGAACACCGAUGGCGAAGGCAGGUCUCUGGGCCGCAACUGACGCUGAGGAGCGAAAGCAUGGGGAGCGAACAGGAUCAGAUACCCUGGUAGUCCAUGCCGUAAACGUUGGGCACUAGGUGUGGGGCUCAUUCCACGAGUUCCGUGCCGCAGCUAACGCAUUAAGUGCCCCGCCUGGGGAGUACGGCCGCAAGGCUAAAACUCAAAGGAAUUGACGGGGGCCCGCACAAGCGGCGGAGCAUGCGGAUUAAUUCGAUGCAACGCGAAGAACCUUACCAAGGCUUGACAUGUACGAGAAAGCCCCCGAGACGGGGUUCUCUUUGGACACUCGUACACAGGUGGUGCAUGGUUGUCGUCAGCUCGUGUCGUGAGAUGUUGGGUUAAGUCCCGCAACGAGCGCAACCCUCGUCCUAUGUUGCCAGCGGGUUAUGCCGGGGACUCAUGGGAGACUGCCGGGGUCAACUCGGAGGAAGGUGGGGAUGACGUCAAAUCAUCAUGCCCCUUAUGUCUUGGGCUUCACGCAUGCUACAAUGGCCGGUACAGAGGGCUGCGAUACCGUAAGGUGGAGCGAAUCCCAAAAAGCCGGUCUCAGUUCGGA